UAGGGAAUAUUGGACAAUGGGGGCAACCCUGAUCCAGCAAUGCCGCGUGAGUGAUGAAGGCCUUAGGGUUGUAAAGCUCUUUUACCCGAGAUGAUAAUGACAGUAUCGGGAGAAUAAGCUCCGGCUAACUCCGUGCCAGCAGCCGCGGUAAUACGGAGGGAGCUAGCGUUGUUCGGAAUUACUGGGCGUAAAGCGCACGUAGGCGGCGAUUUAAGUCAGAGGUGAAAGCCCGGGGCUCAACCCCGGAACUGCCUUUGAGACUGGAUUGCUUGAAUCCUGGAGAGGUGAGUGGAAUUCCGAGUGUAUAGGUGAAAUUCGUAGAUAUUCGGAAGAACACCAGUGGCGAAGGCGGCUCACUGGACAGGUAUUGACGCUGAGGUGCGAAAGCGUGGGGAGCAAACA
RNAcentral lists this ribosomal RNA (402 nucleotides) under uncultured Sphingobium sp. Its description in RNAcentral is "bacterial SSU rRNA". It matches the Rfam family "Bacterial small subunit ribosomal RNA", at positions 355 to 774 of the family's 1533-position model. Lineage: Bacteria; Pseudomonadati; Pseudomonadota; Alphaproteobacteria; Sphingomonadales; Sphingobiaceae. The record is from RNAcentral.